RNAcentral lists this transfer RNA (75 nucleotides) under Phyllobacteriaceae bacterium. Its description in RNAcentral is "tRNA-Asn". It matches the Rfam family "tRNA". From Rfam's summary of the family: Transfer RNA (tRNA) molecules are approximately 80 nucleotides in length. Lineage: Bacteria; Pseudomonadati; Pseudomonadota; Alphaproteobacteria; Hyphomicrobiales; Phyllobacteriaceae. RNAcentral also lists the same sequence under 4 other names. The record is from RNAcentral.
UCCCCAGUAGCUCAGCGGUAGAGCGCUCGACUGUUAAUCGAUCGGUCGCAAGUUCGAAUCUUGCCUGGGGAGCCA